AGUGAACGCUGGCGGCAGGCCUAACACAUGCCAGUCGAGCGGCAGCGGGUCCUUCGGGAUGCCGGCGAGCGGCGGACGGGUGAGGAAUACAUCGGAAUCUGCCCUGUCGUGGGGGAUAACCUAGGGAAACUUAGGCUAAUACCGCAUACGACCUACGGGUGAAAGCGGGGGAUCGCAAGACCUCGCGCGACAGGAUGAGCCGAUGUCCGAUUAGCUAGUUGGCGGGGUAAAGGCCCACCAAGGCGACGAUCGGUAGCUGGGCUGAGAGGAUGAUCAGCCACACUGGGAGUGAGACACGGCCCAGACUCCUACGGGAGGCAGCAGUGCGGAAUAUUGGACAAUGGGCGCAAGCCUGAUCCAGCCAUGCCGCGUGGGUGAAGAAGGCCUUCGGGUUGUAAAGCCCUUUUGUCCGGGAAGAAAUCGUCUGGGCUAAUACCCCGGGCGGAUGACGGUACCGGAAGAAUAAGCACCGGCUAACUUCGUG
RNAcentral lists this ribosomal RNA (484 nucleotides) under uncultured bacterium. RNAcentral's name for it is "partial 16S ribosomal RNA". It matches the Rfam family "Bacterial small subunit ribosomal RNA", at positions 30 to 507 of the family's 1533-position model. The record is from RNAcentral.